This is a long non-coding RNA of Chlorocebus sabaeus (green monkey), 1005 nucleotides long. RefSeq lists it as uncharacterized. The record is from RefSeq and is a predicted model, not a curated record. Lineage: Eukaryota; Metazoa; Chordata; Mammalia; Primates; Cercopithecidae.
UUAGAUCACAGGAAGCUUUAUGGCUUUUUUAAAAAACAUAGAUUUUACUUUGAAUGGAAUAAACAACCAUUGCAGGGCUUUGAGCAUAGGAUGGGCAUGAUUUGCUUUUGUUUAUUUAGUUUACAGUAGCUGAAUUGAGAUAUCAUUCACAUGCCAUAAAAUUUAUUAUUUUCAGUGCCUACAAUUCAGUGGCUUUUAGUAUAUUCAUAAACAUAUGGAAUGUCACAUGAAUUUCCAUGUCAUGCUUACGCAGGGGCCCGGUUCCUCUUCUCUGUGUGUUCCGGUUUUAUCAGAUGUGCUGCCAAAGCGAGCACCUGAGUUUGACUUGCUCGGCGACCCUCUCGCCGCUGGGUUGAGAAUAGCCAGAAGGAGCCAGGCUGUGGAGGAGCAGGGGACCUGGAGGGUGUGCCUGUGAAUCCAGUGACAAAGGAUGGCGUUUGCAGCUGCGAUGGUUCAGAAUGUUAAAGAAAUCAGACAAGUUCUUCUUUGCUCUCAUGGAUUAUCUAUUCUACACUGGGAAGACAAACCUGAAUAUACACACAAGUGUGCAGGAUGAUCAGCAUGUGACAUCGUGAUAGUGCAGACAGAGUCUCAGCUGGGCAUCGCUUGGCAGCUGUUUUAUGUGGCACAGGGUAGUGAUCCGGAGUAACCACCAUUGCCAACUCUCUAACAAAUUAACAGCGUCUAAAACACAACUGCCCAUGCCUCUGAGUGAGUACAGUGUGAAAAAAGUUUGUCAAUAUUAGUUUGCAAAUCAGAGUUCUAAUGGGAUGUCUAUCCACUUUACAGUCAAGUUAAUAAGAGAGUCAGAGAGAGGAAGAAGAGGAAAACAUGUGAUGGUGGCACCCUGGGGUGAUGCCAGUGGUUAUUUAGCUUGUAACUAAACGUCAUCUGCCCCACUCUUUCACCCAGCUUCUCCUCAUCGGAGGGUGCAGGAGUGGGCACCGCAGCAUACAUACAUGUGUAGUUGACCAUUCCACGUUGCCAUUUCUCCCUGCUGGUGCA